RNAcentral lists this ribosomal RNA (451 nucleotides) under uncultured bacterium. Its description in RNAcentral is "partial 16S ribosomal RNA". It matches the Rfam family "Bacterial small subunit ribosomal RNA", at positions 354 to 796 of the family's 1533-position model. The record is from RNAcentral.
GUGGGGAAUAUUGGACAAUGGGCGCAAGCCUGAUCCAGCCAUGCCGCGUGUGUGAAGAAGGCCUUUUGGUUGUAAAGCACUUUAAGCGAGGAGGAGGCUCCUUUAGUUAAUACCUAAAGAGAGUGGACGUUACUCGCAGAAUAAGCACCGGCUAACUCUGUGCCAGCAGCCGCGGUAAUACAGAGGGUGCGAGCGUUAAUCGGAUUUACUGGGCGUAAAGCGUGCGUAGGCGGCUUUUUAAGUCGGAUGUGAAAUCCCUGAGCUUAACUUAGGAAUUGCAUUCGAUACUGGAAAGCUAGAGUAUGGGAGAGGAUGGUAGAAUUCCAGGUGUAGCGGUGAAAUGCGUAGAGAUCUGGAGGAAUACCGAUGGCGAAGGCAGCCAUCUGGCCUAAUACUGACGCUGAGGUACGAAAGCAUGGGGAGCAAACAGGAUUAGAUACCCGGGUAGUCC